RNAcentral lists this long non-coding RNA (1031 nucleotides) under Olea europaea subsp. europaea. Lineage: Eukaryota; Viridiplantae; Streptophyta; Magnoliopsida; Lamiales; Oleaceae. The record is from RNAcentral.
GGCCUGUAAAGCCUACAUGUCUCUCCAAAAUAUGCUACAAGAUCAAGAAUAUCGGUACAGACGAAACAAGUGAAACGGACAUAGGCAAUCAUUCCCCCUCCCUGCUCUCUUAUGAAAGCGAGUGUAACCUCAGUAGUCCUCACCCAUAUCAUCCGUUUCUCGUUUUUUGCUUGCUGUCUCCUUUUUCCCCUCUCCUUCGAGGGUUUCUUUUCUUUUUUCCUUUUUCCUUUUUUUUUGCCCUUUAAAUUUUUAAUUUCUUUCUCUCUGAAACCCCUAAUUGUCUAUAUAUUUGUAAGAAGAUGCAACAGCAGAGGUUGAAGCAACAACAAGCAUUAAUGCAACAAUCUCUCUACCACCCCGGUCUUCUUGCUCCUCCUCAGGUUUCUAUUCUCUUUAAUAUUUUUAUUGGAUCGUUUAAAUUAGAUUUUGGUCUUUGGAUUUAUUUAUUUAUUUGAUUUCGACAUGGAAAAAAUUUCGGUUCAUUCAUUUUGUAGAAGAUCAUGUAUGGGGCUUUUAUUUUUAGUUUCUAUGGUUUUUUUUAGGGGAAAAAAACGCGAAACGUAUAUGGGAAGUAAAUGUUUGACGAAUUAUGUUGAUUGAAUGAUUGGGGAUUCGAUUUAAACGAACUUGUUCAAGGACACAGGCAGGAGAGAGAAAAAAUAAUCAAGAGCUGAGCCUUUCUCUGCAUCUUACAUUGCUUUGCUAAGCCUUCUGGUUGGGUAUUUAACUGUUUGUGUGGUUAUGUAAAUGUUAUUUUGUUUGUCUGGGUAGUAGCAUUCUUUAUUAUCUUUUAAAGUUCUUUGUUUGCAACUAUGGUGAAAAAUGUUAUUGAAUUGUUUUAUUGCAGGUUUGUAGUUUACCCAUUUUUUCUGCUUAACAUUCUGAAGAGAAGUUGGUCAUUUCUGUUCCAUUAUUGUUUCAUGGAUUUCUAUUUUCGUGCAUGGGAGAUAUUUUUGAAGAAAAUUUGAUCCACACUUCUUAAAAUACAAUACUUGAUUACUCUUUUCCUUUACGGCAUUCAUGUAUGAUGG